GUGAGGAAUAUUGGUCAAUGGGCGCAAGCCUGAACCAGCCAUGCCGCGUGCAGGAAGACGGUCCUAUGGAUUGUAAACUGCUUUUAUUUGGGAAUAAACUCCGGUACGUGUACCGGCCUGAAGGUACCAAAUGAAUAAGCACCGGCUAACUCCGUGCCAGCAGCCGCGGUAAUACGGAGGGUGCAAGCGUUAUCCGGAAUCAUUGGGUUUAAAGGGUCCGCAGGCGGUCUUAUAAGUCAGUGGGGAAAGCCUACAGCUCAACUGUAGAACUGCCAUUGAUACUGUAGGACUUGAAUUCGAUCGAAGUGGGCGGAAUGUGACAUGUAGCGGUGAAAUGCUUAGAUAUGUCACAGAACACCGAUAGCGAAGGCAGCUCACUAGGUCUGGAUUGACGCUCAGGGACGAAAGCGUGGGGAGCAAACAGGAUUAGAAACCCGAGUAGUCC
Molecule: ribosomal RNA, 445 nt
Filed under: uncultured bacterium
Lineage: Bacteria
Description: partial 16S ribosomal RNA
Rfam family: Bacterial small subunit ribosomal RNA
Source: RNAcentral